RNAcentral lists this ribosomal RNA (496 nucleotides) under bacterium. Its description in RNAcentral is "bacterial SSU rRNA". It matches the Rfam family "Bacterial small subunit ribosomal RNA", at positions 361 to 850 of the family's 1533-position model. The record is from RNAcentral.
AUUUUGGACAAUGGGCGCAAGCCUGAUCCAGCAAUGCCGCGUGAGUGAAGAAGGCCUUCGGGUUGUAAAGCUCUUUUGUCAGGGAAGAAACGGUGGGAGCUAAUAUCUCCUGCUAAUGACGGUACCUGAAGAAUAAGCACCGGCUAACUACGUGCCAGCAGCCGCGGUAAUACGUAGGGUGCAAGCGUUAAUCGGAAUUACUGGGCGUAAAGCGUGCGCAGGCGGUUUUGUAAGUCUGAUGUGAAAUCCCCGGGCUCAACCUGGGAAUUGCAUUGGAGACUGCAAGGCUAGAAUCUGGCAGAGGGGGGUAGAAUUCCACGUGUAGCAGUGAAAUGCGUAGAUAUGUGGAGGAACACCGAUGGCGAAGGCAGCCCCCUGGGUCAAGAUUGACGCUCAUGCACGAAAGCGUGGGGAGCAAACAGGAUUAGAUACCCUGGUAGUCCACGCCCUAAACGAUGUCUACUAGUUGUCGGGUCUUAAUUGACUUGGUAACGCA